UUUAAAAGUAGGACACGUGUCACACAAUGGUUGGCUGGACGUGAUUUUUGUUCAUUUAAUACUUUGAACUCAAUUAUUUCGUUGUAAAUUAAUUUUUUAUUAUUUUUUUUUAUACCAAAAUUCAUAAUUUCUUUUUUUUCUACAAAUAGAGACUUGGUUCGUUUGAUUUGGACACCGAAAAAAAAAUGCAAUUUUUCACUACUUUAAUCUCAUUUUUUGUCUACUAAAUACGUUACUUAUGUGUUGUAAUUUAACACGCACCACUCAACCAACUCACUGAAACCAUUAUACCAGGAAAAUAGUAGAUAAUAUUCUGGAACUUUUGGUAUAUUUUAUGAAAUUUUUGAAGACCUGAAACUAUUUUUAGUUAAUUAAAUGAGAUAAGACGGUAAUUAAAAACUAAUGUUUGCUUCUGAAACCAUUUUACUGGUAGAAUUGUUGCACAUAGUUGUAUUCUGAAACCAUUUUACUGGUAGAAUGGUUUCAAUGAGUAAUUUAUUAAUUGUGUUUGCUUCUGAAACCAUUUAUCUGGUACAAUGGUUUCAGAGAGUUGUAAUCUGAAACCAUUUUGCUGGUAGAAUGAUUUCAAUAAGUUGAUUAUUAGUUAUUUGCUUCUGAAACCAUUUAGCUUGUAGAAUGGUUGCACAUAGUUGUACUCUGAAACUAUUUUACUGGUAAAAUGGUUUCAGUGAGUAAUUUAUUAAUUGUGUUUGCUUCUGAAACCAUUUUGCUGGUAGAAUGGUUUCAGUAAGUUGAUUCUUAGUUAUUUGCUUCUGAAACCAUUUAGCUGGUAGAAUGGUUUCAGAGAUUUGUACUCUGAAACCAUUUUCCUGGUAGAAUGGUUUCAGUGAGUUGAUGUAAGGUAGUGAAAAAUUGGGUUUUUUUUCCUGUGUCCAAAUCAAACAAACCAAGUCUCUGUUUGUAGAGAAAAAAAAAUUAUGAAUUUUGGUAUAAAAAAAAUAAAAAAUUAAUUUACAACGAAAUAAUUGAGUUCAAAGUAUUAAAUGGAAAAAAAUCACGCCCAGCCAAUCAGACAGCGACACGUGUCCUGCUUUUUAAAAAGUAGAUUCUUCUCUCUCCAGGGUGUAAUCCAGUGUGGUGCACGCGCUGGAAUCUGAUGGAUUCAGAUGAUCUGGGCUGUCUGAUUGAUCAGACAGUCUUGAUGAGAUCAGAUCUUGGUUGUCUGAUGGAAAUCAACGGCCUGUAACCAUGGUCCUGCGGUACGCGCGCGACACUGGAUCCGAGUCCAUUGAUGAUAAUUUGGUUAAUUAAUUAAAAAG
RNAcentral lists this long non-coding RNA (1280 nucleotides) under Trifolium pratense (red clover). RNAcentral's name for it is "long non-coding RNA (TPRA_LNC000524)". Lineage: Eukaryota; Viridiplantae; Streptophyta; Magnoliopsida; Fabales; Fabaceae. The record is from RNAcentral.